RNAcentral lists this small RNA (2103 nucleotides) under Oryza sativa Japonica Group (Japanese rice). RNAcentral's name for it is "sRNA Os10g0109801". The record is from RNAcentral. Lineage: Eukaryota; Viridiplantae; Streptophyta; Magnoliopsida; Poales; Poaceae.
UUAUAGCACUGUUUUCAUGGGUAAAUAUAUUCUCCCGCAUCAAUUAGCUAAGAUGAUAUCUCUUUUAGAUAAUGAGCUAAUUAAGAGGAUCUGACCGGAAAAAAAAACAGUUGAAUUAAAAACUCUAAGCCUAGUUGUUCCGUGUAUAAAUAUAUGCAUGAACUGGUCAUUUGAGUAUCAUAUAUAUAGAGCACGAUUUAAUUAAUCACGUUAAAUAUCGGGUCGUGUUUUUUAUGCGUGUUGUCUUCUAAUUUUGUCACAUUAAGCAGCUGGGCUAUCAUUAUUCUAUUUUUUCUUUCCUUUUUCCACAAAAUGAGGAAAAGGAUGAAAUAUACAAUCCAUUGAUCAAGCAAGGACGCAUUUGCAAACGACCAUGCCUACAAUCUACAAAGAUCAUAUAAAGCCAGAAGGUUUCAUCGUGUUUAUCUAUCUUGCACAUGUGAAUCCAAAAUUUGGAAUAAUUCAGAAUGCAGAAUAUGGAGAUACCCUCAUAAUAGAUGUUGAAAUAUCUUUUCGCAUGAUUUACUCUUUCAAUUCCGUCCACUUUUACUAACCUAGCUAGACUUAUUCUAAUUUCAGAUAAUCAAACUUUAUACAGUUUGCCAAUAAUUAUAUGUAUAGUAGUAUUUAGUACCUACAAGCUAUACCAAAUUAAUAAUAGAUCAUAUAUCUGAUUCACACAAACUAUAUAUACUGAAUUUAUCGUACUCUAAGAUACAUAUUGCAAAUCAGAAAUCACCCAUCUGAGCAGUUCUUUACAUUUUUCUCUUUUCCAAAAUAUCUUUGCAUAUUCCAAAGGGUCAUGAAUUUAGUGCAAAACCCAAAAGAACCAUCUAGUUUGAAAAUAAUAAGAUAUAAACACUGAUACGUUUGUUUUGCCUUUACGGUAGUCUUUGUUGGUAGUAGAAGCCAACCUAGACAUUCAUCUUCUCUAAUCUAAUGGAUUGUAUAUAUUUAUAACGGGAAGGCUAAAUGGCUGUCGAAUGAUUUUUGAUAGCUAAAUCAUUCAUGUUUUAAUAUAUUCAGAACCGUUGUUUCAUAUGUUGUAGUAAAAUAUUACAUGAGGUGAUUUGAUUGUGUUUCAGUCUUUUAAAAGAUUGAAACAUUUUCGAUCUACUUGGUAAAACAACGCUCGAUUGGCUUCGAAAUUUGCAUGAUGGAAGCCUAAAAAAUCAUGCGAAUCCCAUAUAAACUUUUUCUCGAUGUACUCGGAUUUGUUUCAUGUUUUAAUAUAUUUAGAACCAUAGUUUCAUAUGUUAUGUUGUAGCAAAAAGUUUCAUGGGGUGAUUUGAUUGUGUUCCAGCUUUUUAAAAAGAUUGAAACAUUUUCAAUCUACUUGGUGAAACAUUUUCGCUCUACUUGAUGAAACACUGCAUGAUGGAAGCCUAAAAAAUCAUGUGAAUCCCAUAUAGACAGCUAUUUAUAACGCACAUUACAAUUACAAGAACUAAAUGGGGUUUAUGCAGAUUUUUGCUAACCAUAGAUGAAGGUUUAGGAAUAGGUCAUCAUUUGUGCCUGUAGGCUGGUGUAGGCUGGUGUUUCAGUUAGUUCUCUUGUUUUCCAUCAAAUUGCGUUGUGCAAUUCACAAUCGUUUUAAUGCAAACUUCGUAAUAAUUUGGUUGUAACUUAUUCAGAGCAAAGACUGGAAUGGUUCUUCCAUUAUCUAAAAUGUAGAAUUCAUAAAUCAACAAUUAGGAUCACUUUUACUAGUGAUAAUAAGCAAAGGUACAUGAAAUUGGUUUUUUAGAAUAUUACAGAAAUUAGAAAAUGGCAAAGUAUUUAUUGUUGUCCUGCUGUUAAUUAAAAAACCGACGUUUAAACAUCUAAAAAAACCUCCGAUGAGGUUUACACAUAUCACAAAUAGCACAUUUAUAAUUGAUUCAACCCUACACUACAUAGGCACUUCCAAGGCAAUUUUAUUACUAGGACUAAUUAAUUAAUUAGCUGAAAACACACAUACACAAAAAGAAAUAAAAAGUCAAGUGGUAGGCAGCUUGCGUUUGUAGGUGGCAGCGCAGCAGACGAAGGCGAUGAGGUUGAUGAGCUGCAACGCCGCCAUCAACCAGAAGAAUCGAUCGAGAUGUCCCUCGUUCAGAUUCUCCG